AAAUUGAAGAGUUUGAUCAUGGCUCAGAUUGAACGCUGGCGGCAGGCCUAACACAUGCAAGUCGAACGGUAGCACAGAGAGCUUGCUCUCGGGUGACGAGUGGCGGACGGGUGAGUAAUGUCUGGGAAACUGCCUGAUGGAGGGGGAUAACUACUGGAAACGGUGGCUAAUACCGCAUAACGUCGCAAGACCAAAGAGGGGGACCUUCGGGCCUCUUGCCAUCAGAUGUGCCCAGAUGGGAUUAGCUUGUUGGUGAGGUAACGGCUCACCAAGGCGACGAUCCCUAGCUGGUCUGAGAGGAUGACCAGCCACACUGGAACUGAGACACGGUCCAGACUCCUACGGGAGGCAGCAGUGGGGAAUAUUGCACAAUGGGCGCAAGCCUGAUGCAGCCAUGCCGCGUGUAUGAAGAAGGCCUUCGGGUUGUAAAGUACUUUCAGCGGGGAGGAAGGUGUUGUGGUUAAUAACCACAGCAAUUGACGGUACCCGCAGAAGAAGCACCGGCUAACUCCGUGCC
This 517-nucleotide ribosomal RNA is filed under the name Salmonella enterica. Its description in RNAcentral is "bacterial SSU rRNA". It matches the Rfam family "Bacterial small subunit ribosomal RNA", at positions 1 to 509 of the family's 1533-position model. Lineage: Bacteria; Pseudomonadati; Pseudomonadota; Gammaproteobacteria; Enterobacterales; Enterobacteriaceae. The record is from RNAcentral.